Molecule: ribosomal RNA, 357 nt
Filed under: Escherichia coli
Lineage: Bacteria; Pseudomonadati; Pseudomonadota; Gammaproteobacteria; Enterobacterales; Enterobacteriaceae
Description: bacterial LSU rRNA
Rfam family: Bacterial large subunit ribosomal RNA
Source: RNAcentral
CGGGAGAUAGCUGGUUCUCCCCGAAAGCUAUUUAGGUAGCGCCUCGUGAAUUCAUCUCCGGGGGUAGAGCACUGUUUCGGCAAGGGGGUCAUCCCGACUUACCAACCCGAUGCAAACUGCGAAUACCGGAGAAUGUUAUCACGGGAGACACACGGCGGGUGCUAACGUCCGUCGUGAAGAGGGAAACAACCCAGACCGCCAGCUAAGGUCCCAAAGUCAUGGUUAAGUGGGAAACGAUGUGGGAAGGCCCAGACAGCCAGGAUGUUGGCUUAGAAGCAGCCAUCAUUUAAAGAAAGCGUAAUAGCUCACUGGUCGAGUCGGCCUGCGCGGAAGAUGUAACGGGGCUAAACCAUGCAC